ACGUCUCAAAAGGUCAAUACUCGUAUAAGUAUUUUGUAAAAACUACAGGCUUCUACAAUUAUUUAACAUUGAUUAGGUACAAUAAUGUUAUACCAUGAAAUCGUUACGCCGUAAAUAUUUGACCGUUUGUUCCUACGAUUUUAUCUCAAUAAUUAUGAAAAUCUGCAUAGAAAAUCAAAAAAAUGACUUUCUCAAGUACCAACUAGGCAACUUUCGGAAUUUUUGGUC
Non-coding RNA from Cinara cedri, 228 nucleotides. The record is from the annotation of a GenBank genome assembly. NCBI's taxonomy places the organism in Eukaryota, Metazoa, Arthropoda, Insecta, Hemiptera, Aphididae.